Molecule: ribosomal RNA, 253 nt
Filed under: uncultured bacterium
Lineage: Bacteria
Description: partial 16S ribosomal RNA
Rfam family: Bacterial small subunit ribosomal RNA
Source: RNAcentral
UACGGAGGAUGCAAGCGUUAUCCGGAAUUAUUGGGCGUAAAGCGUCCGCAGGUGGCUAUUCAAGUCUGCGGUCAAAGACUGGGGCUUAACCCUGGAAAGGCCGUGGAAACUGAAGAGCUAGAGUGCAGUAGGGGUAGAGGGAAUUCCCGGUGUAGCGGUGAAAUGCGUAGAGCUCGGGAAGAACAUCGGUGGCGAAAGCGCUCUGCUGGACUGCAACUGACACUCAGGGACGAAAGCUAGGGGAGCGAAUGGG